CGUAAGCGCGCGCAGGCGGUUUCUUAAGUCUGAUGUGAAAGCCCCGGGCUCAUCCUGGGAACUGCAUCCUAAACUGGCGAGCUAGAGUGCGGUAGAGGGAGGUGGAAUUUCCUGUGUAGCGGUGAAAUGCGUAAAUAUAGGAAGGAACACCAGUGGCGAAGGCGACCUCCUGGACUGAUACUGACACUGAGGUGCGAAAGCGUGGGGAGCAAACAGGAUUAAAUACCCUGGUAGUCCACCCCGUAAACGAUGUCGACUAGCCGUUGGAAGCCUUGAGACUUUAGUGGCGCAGCUAACGCAUUAAGUUGACCGCCUGGGGAGUACGGCCGCAAGGUUAAAACUCAAAUGAAUUGACUGGGGCCCGCACAAGCGGUGGAGCAUGUGGUUUAAUUCGAAUCAACGCGAAGAACCUUACCAGGCCUUGA
Molecule: ribosomal RNA, 425 nt
Filed under: Pseudomonas plecoglossicida
Lineage: Bacteria; Pseudomonadati; Pseudomonadota; Gammaproteobacteria; Pseudomonadales; Pseudomonadaceae
Description: bacterial SSU rRNA
Rfam family: Bacterial small subunit ribosomal RNA
Source: RNAcentral